This 460-nucleotide ribosomal RNA is filed under the name uncultured bacterium. RNAcentral describes it as "partial 16S ribosomal RNA". It matches the Rfam family "Bacterial small subunit ribosomal RNA", at positions 338 to 795 of the family's 1533-position model. The record is from RNAcentral.
CCUACGGGUGGCAGCAGUGAGGAAUAUUGGUCAAUGGGCGCGAGCCUGAACCAGCCAAGCCGCGUGAAGGAUGAAUGUCCUACGGGUUGUAAACUUCUUUUAUAAGGGAACAAAGUCAGGCACGUGUCCCUGUAUGAAUGUACCUUAUGAAUAAGGAUCGGCUAACUCCGUGCCAGCAGCCGCGGUAAUACGGAGGAUCCGAGCGUUAUCCGGAUUUAUUGGGUUUAAAGGGAGCGUAGAUGGGUUGUUAAGUCAGUUGUGAAAGCCCGGGGCUCAACCCGAGAAUUGCAUUUGAUACUGGCAGCCUUGAGUACAGGAGAGGUAGGCGGAAUGCGUGGUGUAGCGGUGAAAUGCAUAGAUAUCACGAAGAACUCCGAUUGCGAAGGCAGCCUGCUGGACUGCCACUGACGUUGAGGCUCGAAAGUGUGGGUAUCAAACAGGAUUAGAUACCCUUGUAGUC